GAAAAACAAAGAAAGAAAUGAUUCCAGGACUUGAAACAAAAGCAAUUCUCAGCGAGCUGUUUUGUUCCAAAUUCCUGCUCUGCACCUUAGUUUCAACUUCUGUCACGCAACCUACUGAAAAGGAUUCAGUCUGGUGCUGCCAUUGCACUGUUCCAGAAGCAACGGUUCCUUCUCAUACCUUCCUGUCCCUUGAAUAGCCUACUACAGAAACACAGUGUGGACCCCUGUUUAUUAGCAGACCUGAACAGGGACAAUCUGCCCUGCCUUGUUUUCAGCAAUGACUACAGAGCUCAUGGACAGUCACAUGCUUCAGAGUGAGAUCCACAAAAAGCAGCUGAUGAGAAGAGUUUUGUUAAGCCAACUUCUGAAAUCCUGCCUCUUCAAAGACUUACAUGCCCAUCUCAGUACCUUGGAGAGACUUCCAGAUGAAAAAAGACCCA
RNAcentral lists this long non-coding RNA (440 nucleotides) under Anser brachyrhynchus (Pink-footed goose). RNAcentral describes it as "lncRNA (ENSABRG00000011900.1)". The record is from RNAcentral. Lineage: Eukaryota; Metazoa; Chordata; Aves; Anseriformes; Anatidae.